This 547-nucleotide long non-coding RNA is filed under the name Ovis aries (sheep). Its description in RNAcentral is "lncRNA (ENSOARG00000025380.1)". Lineage: Eukaryota; Metazoa; Chordata; Mammalia; Artiodactyla; Bovidae. The record is from RNAcentral.
CAAUUAAGAAAAAAAGUGGAACCAAAUUCAUAAAUACUAUUUUCAAACUUUCUUUUUUUCUUCUACUUUAAUCCAUACUUUAUUUUUUUUUAAUUUAAAUUCAUUUAUUUUAAUUAGAAGCUAAUUACUUUACAAUAUUGUAUUGGUUCUGCCACAUAUCAACAUGAAUCCACCAUAGGCGUACACAUUUUAAAGUCAGGAAAAAAACCAACAAUUUAAAAAGUACAUCCAAGACAUGUAUAUGAGGAAAAAAAAAAAAUAAAAAUAAAAAAAUAAAAAGUACAUCCAAGACAUGUAUAUGAGUAUACAUAUGUUUGCUUUGGCCCAGCACUGUUUGCUUGUUCUUCUAGGAACCCACUCUCUUGUUCUUUCUUUUAUGGCCCUGGCAACUUCACACCAGGCAUCCCUAUUCUUCCUUUUUAAAAUCUCUUUCAACUACCCUCAUAUCAGCAGCACUUAUUUGGAACUUAUUUGUUAAGAGGUCACAAAAAAAUACAUCCACACAUACUAAGCUUGAUUCUCAUUAGAUUACUGUUUUCACUGCUUU